UGGCCCAAAUUAUCAAAGAUAAUAUUUUAAGGCUUUCAAGGGUCCUCUUAUGGGAUUACCCCCUCACUUCUCGAAUAGCUAAGUUUUUAAACUUAGCUCAUCUUCAGGACGAGGGGCUUUUUAAGGAUUCUCUUAUGGAGUUACCUCUCGCUUGUUGAUCAUCUAAGAUCUUCGAUGCAGAUUGUUGGAGAUGAUAUUUUAGGACUUUUGAGGGUCCUCUUAUGAGGUUACUUCCC
RNAcentral lists this long non-coding RNA (236 nucleotides) under Elaeis guineensis (African oil palm). RNAcentral's name for it is "long non-coding RNA (EGUI_LNC012617)". Lineage: Eukaryota; Viridiplantae; Streptophyta; Magnoliopsida; Arecales; Arecaceae. The record is from RNAcentral.